AUACGGAGGGAGCUAGCGUUGUUCGGAAUUACUGGGCGUAAAGCGCACGUAGGCGGCUAUUCAAGUCAGAGGUGAAAGCCCGGGGCUCAACCCCGGAACUGCCUUUGAAACUAGAUAGCUUGAAUCCAGGAGAGGUGAGUGGAAUUCCGAGUGUAGAGGUGAAAUUCGUAGAUAUUCGGAAGAACACCAGUGGCGAAGGCGGCUCACUGGACUGGUAUUGACGCUGAGGUGCGAAAGCGGUGGGGAGC
RNAcentral lists this ribosomal RNA (248 nucleotides) under uncultured bacterium. Its description in RNAcentral is "partial 16S ribosomal RNA". It matches the Rfam family "Bacterial small subunit ribosomal RNA", at positions 523 to 769 of the family's 1533-position model. The record is from RNAcentral.